AAAGAUCUCCCAGCAGAAGAGGAGAGGAGGUUGUGUGGGACAAGUUGCUCCCGACAGAAGGAUGUCGCUGCUGAGCCUGCCCUGGCUGGGCCUCAGACAGGUGGCAAUAUCCCCAUGGCUACUCCUGCUGCUGGUUGUGGGCUCCUGGCUACUCACCCGCAUCCUGGCUUGGACCUAUGCCUUCUAUAACAACUGCCGCCGGCUCCAGUGUUUCCCACAGCCCCCAAAACGGAACUGGUUUUGGGGUCACCUGGGCCUGAUCACUCCUACAGAGGAGGGCUUGAAGGACUCGACCCAGAUGUCAGCCACCUAUUCCCAGGGCUUUACGAUAUGGCUGGGUCCCAUCAUCCCCUUCAUCGUUUUAUGCCACCCUGACACCAUCCGGUCUAUCACCAAUGCCUCAGCUGCCAUUGCACUCAAGGAUGAUCUCUCCAUCAGGUUCCUGAAGCCCUGGCUGGGUGAGUACCUGCAGGUGAAAGGGGUUGGGGACAACCUUGCAGGGACGGUAGGGGAAGUGCUGCUCUUGCCCACUGUCCUUGGCUGCCCUGCCAGGGGAUGGGCUCCUGCUGAGUGGCGUUGACAAGUGGAGCCGCCACCGUCGGAUGCUGACACCCGCCUUCCAUUUCAACAUCCUGAAGUCCUAUAUAACGAUCUUCAACAAGAGUGCAAACAUCAUGCUUGUGAGUCCCUUGAAGUCUGGGUCCCAGCUGGAGUCUUGGGGUGGAGGGACCAUGGACACAUCUGGUCUGGAAUUUUGGCUCUUCUGGGUGGCACUGGGCCAUUGCUCUUCCUCUCUGAGCCUUGGUUUCCUCAUCUGUAAAAUGGGGAUGAUAAUCCCUACUUGAAAGGUCAUUUACUUGGCACACAGUAGGUUCUCAGAAGGUGUCAGUUUCUGUGUUUUUCUCACAGAAUCCCUGUAAACUCAAGAGAGUAAAAAUGAAGAUUGUGUAGUAGUCAUUGCUGAUUACAAACCACUUCAGAACUCAUUGGCUUAGAGCCAUAAGGGUUUACAAUUGCUAAGGAGUCUGUGAGACAGCUGGCCAGUUCUUCUGGAUGUGGAAGGGAUCACUCUUGGCACAUGAGCAGCUGUGGGUCGGGGGGCAGCUUUGCUGAUCCUGGCUCAGUUCAUUCACGUUUGGGGCUUCAGUACCUUCAGACUGUUCUGGGAUGGGCUCAGCUGUGACACCCGGACUUUCCCCCAUGUGAUUCUCUGCCUCCAGAAGGCACCCUGUUGUUCACAUGGCAGAGACUGGGUUCUGAGAAACUGAGAGGAGGCUGCAAUGUCUGUGGACAUUGUCUCUGC
RNAcentral lists this small RNA (1303 nucleotides) under Pan troglodytes (chimpanzee). RNAcentral's name for it is "retained intron". Lineage: Eukaryota; Metazoa; Chordata; Mammalia; Primates; Hominidae. The record is from RNAcentral.